Molecule: transfer RNA, 67 nt
Filed under: Pseudomonas massiliensis
Lineage: Bacteria; Pseudomonadati; Pseudomonadota; Gammaproteobacteria; Pseudomonadales; Pseudomonadaceae
Rfam family: tRNA
About the family: Transfer RNA (tRNA) molecules are approximately 80 nucleotides in length. Their secondary structure includes four short double-helical elements and three loops (D, anti-codon, and T loops). Further hydrogen bonds mediate the characteristic L-shaped molecular structure. tRNAs have two regions of fundamental functional importance: the anti-codon, which is responsible for specific mRNA codon recognition, and the 3' end, to which the tRNAs corresponding amino acid is attached (by aminoacyl-tRNA synthetases). tRNAs cope with the degeneracy of the genetic code in two manners: having more than one tRNA (with a specific anti-codon) for a particular amino acid; and 'wobble' base-pairing, i.e. permitting non-standard base-pairing at the 3rd anti-codon position.
Source: RNAcentral
CGGGUGUAGUUUAGUGGUAGAACGGUAGCUUCCCAAGCUCUAGGUGAGGGUUCGAUUCCCUCCACCC